UCUUUUUUCCUUUUUUCUCUUCUUCUUCUCUUUUUUUUUCUUUCUUCUUUUUUUUCUUUCUUCUUUCCUUUUAGCUUGCAUCAGAACUUAUUGGCUUGAUAACAAUACAUUCCACAUCGUCAUUUAUCGAUAAGACGGGGAAAGAAGUUCUCAUCCUAACAAGCUGUUG
Molecule: small RNA, 169 nt
Filed under: Spisula solidissima (Atlantic surf clam)
Lineage: Eukaryota; Metazoa; Mollusca; Bivalvia; Venerida; Mactridae
Source: RNAcentral